UUUAACAGGAGAAUUCCACCACUAGAUGUACAGAUCAUGUUGCUUUAGGAAUUGUGACCUUGUUCCUGUACUUGAAGGACCCAUAUUCAAAAAAUGGAUAUGAGGGGUACUAUGAUGCAGAUAGCGGAUCAGGAUAUCUAGCCUGGAGAAUUAAAACAAUUCAGUGCAAUUCUGUGAUGGCAACAGACAGGAAAGCCAGCACUGAUUUAUAAAGAUGGGCCAAGAGUACAGUGAGAAAUACAUACGAACGAGGAGCAGCUGACUGGGCAGCGGUGUAGAGAAGCCAUUUCGCUUCUGAAAUAUUCCUCCGACACACAAAUGAUACAGCAAUAAAUGAGAGCAACAUUUGAUUACCGUCAAAUUCUUCAUUUUCAUCUGCUGCAUCUGAUGACUUGGAUGCCACUCAUUUUGGAGGAAAUCUAAGGCUUAUCUAAGAAAAUGAGGCUCAUAGAUAAAAGCCUGUGGUGCUGAACAUGCAAAACAAGCAGGCUUAACACCACUUAGAAACCGGCUUUGUGGCAGUAUACAUUCAGUUUAACAAUGUACAAAAAUUGAUAUAAAAAACAAAUAGAAUUUCAUGUGUAAGAAGUUUAGGACACCCUGGAUUCUUGAUAGAACCAUGCUAACAGCAUGUGUGUUUGCUAAUUUAUCUUGAUUCAAGGUUUAAAAUGUUAAUUGUUAAUUUUGCAUUGAUACAUUAUUUUUUCAGGUGAUUAGUUGCAUACUUCAGUGUAAGCCAGGUGGUGACAAAGUCAUGGAUGAAUAUGCAAAAACCACGACUUUAUUAGACAGAAGACAGAGGCAGAUGGUUAAUAUAAUGGUAGCAGAUAUGACAGACGUAUAUGGGUAAUUCAGCUUCCAAAACAGUAAACAAAGUUAGAUCAAUUAUUAAUGUUCCAAAAUAUAGAGUGUAUUAUAUUAAAUACAUUUUAAUAGUUCACGACUUAUAUCCAGAGAUCCAUUGUGAAUUUCUCAGAUGGAUACCUUAACACAUGGGGUUACUUUUCGUAUGAUAUCUCAUCAUUUAUGUAUCCUUUAACAGGAGAAUUCCACCACUAGAUGUACAGAUCAUGUUGCUUUAGGAAUUGUGACCUUGUUCCUGUACUUGAAGGACACAUAUUCAAAAAAUGGAUAUGAGGGGUACUAUGAUGCAGAUAGCGGAUCAGGAUAUCUAGCCUGGAGAAUUAAAACAAUUCAGUGCAAUUCUGUGAUGGCAACAGACAGGAAAGCCAGCACUGAUUUAUAAAGAUGGGCCAAGAGUACAGUGAGAAAUACAUACGAACGAGGAGCAGCUGACUGGGCAGCGGUGUAGAGAAGCCAUUUCGCUUCUGAAAUAUUCCUCCGACACACAAAUGAUACAGCAAUAAAUGAGAGCAACAUUUGAUUACCGUCAAAUUUCGUUCAUGAUCCAGAAAUGUCUUGGAGUCACAGAGGUGUUCCCACUGUUUCUGGACACACAA
Long non-coding RNA from Acipenser ruthenus (sterlet), 1460 nucleotides. RefSeq lists it as uncharacterized. The transcript is spliced from 3 exons. Lineage: Eukaryota; Metazoa; Chordata; Actinopteri; Acipenseriformes; Acipenseridae. The record is from RefSeq and is a predicted model, not a curated record.